This 1189-nucleotide ribosomal RNA is filed under the name Salmonella enterica. Its description in RNAcentral is "partial 23S ribosomal RNA". It matches the Rfam family "Bacterial large subunit ribosomal RNA", at positions 1 to 1221 of the family's 2925-position model. Lineage: Bacteria; Pseudomonadati; Pseudomonadota; Gammaproteobacteria; Enterobacterales; Enterobacteriaceae. The record is from RNAcentral.
GGGUUGUGAGGUUAAGCGACUAAGCGUACACGGUGGAUGCCCUGGCAGUCAGAGGCGAUGAAGGGCGUGCUAAUCUGCGAUAAGCGCCGGUAAGGUGAUAUGAACCGUUAUAACCGGCGAUACCCGAAUGGGGAAACCCAGUGUGAUUCGUCACACUAUCAUUAACUGAAUCCAUAGGUUAAUGAGGCGAACCGGGGGAACUGAAACAUCUAAGUACCCCGAGGAAAAGAAAUCAACCGAGAUUCCCCCAGUAGCGGCGAGCGAACGGGGAGGAGCCCAGAGCCUGAAUCAGCAUGUGUGUUAGUGGAAGCGUCUGGAAAGGCGCGCGAUACAGGGUGACAGCCCCGUACACAAAAGCGUAUGUGCUGUGAGCUCGAUGAGUAGGGCGGGACACGUGGUAUCCUGUCUGAAUAUGGGGGGACCAUCCUCCAAGGCUAAAUACUCCUGACUGACCGAUAGUGAACCAGUACCGUGAGGGAAAGGCGAAAAGAACCCCGGCGAGGGGAGUGAAAAAGAACCUGAAACCGUGUACGUACAAGCAGUGGGAGCACCCUUUGGGGUGUGACUGCGUACCUUUUGUAUAAUGGGUCAGCGACUUAUAUUCUGUAGCAAGGUUAACCGAAUAGGGGAGCCGGAGGGAAACCGAGUCUUAAUUGGGCGUUAAGUUGCAGGGUAUAGACCCGAAACCCGGUGAUCUAGCCAUGGGCAGGUUGAAGGUUGGGUAACACUAACUGGAGGACCGAACCGACUAAUGUUGAAAAAUUAGCGGAUGACCUGUGGCUGGGGGUGAAAGGCCAAUCAAACCGGGAGAUAGCUGGUUCUCCCCGAAAGCUAUUUAGGUAGCGCCUCGUGAAUUCAUCUCCGGGGGUAGAGCACUGUUUCGGCUAGGGGGUCAUCCCGACUUACCAACCCGAUGCAAACUGCGAAUACCGGAGAAUGUUAUCACGGGAGACACACGGCGGGUGCUAACGUCCGUCGUGAAGAGGGAAACAACCCAGACCGCCAGCUAAGGUCCCAAAGUCAUGGUUAAGUGGGAAACGAUGUGGGAAGGCCCAGACAGCUAGGAUGUUGGCUUAGAAGCAGCCAUCAUUUAAAGAAAGCGUAAUAGCUCACUGGUCGAGUCGGCCUGCGCGGAAGAUGUAACGGGGCUAAACCAUGCACCGAAGCUGCGGCAGCGACACUCAGGUGU